This 697-nucleotide ribosomal RNA is filed under the name uncultured bacterium. RNAcentral describes it as "bacterial SSU rRNA". It matches the Rfam family "Bacterial small subunit ribosomal RNA", at positions 8 to 694 of the family's 1533-position model. The record is from RNAcentral.
AGAGUUUGAUCCUGGCUCAGAUUGAACGCUGGCGGCAGGCCUAACACAUGCAAGUCGAAUGGUAACAGGAAACAGCUUGCUGUUUCGCUGACGAGUGGCGGACGGGUGAGUAAUGUCUGGGAAACUGCCUGAUGGAGGGGGAUAACUACUGGAAACGGUAGCUAAUACCGCAUAACGUCGCAAGACCAAAGAGGGGGACCUUCGGGCCUCUUGCCAUCAGAUGUGCCCAGAUGGGAUUAGCUAGUAGGUGGGGUAACGGCUCACCUAGGCGACGAUCCCUAGCUGGUCUGAGAGGAUGACCAGCCACACUGGAACUGAGACACGGUCCAGACUCCUACGGGAGGCAGCAGUGGGGAAUAUUGCACAAUGGGCGCAAGCCUGAUGCAGCCAUGCCGCGUGUAUGAAGAAGGCCUUCGGGUUGUAAAGUACUUUCAGCGGGGAGGAAGGGAGUAAAGUUAAUACCUUUGCUCAUUGACGUUACCCGCAGAAGAAGCACCGGCUAACUCCGUGCCAGCAGCCGCGGUAAUACGGAGGGUGCAAGCGUUAAUCGGAAUUACUGGGCGUAAAGCGCACGCAGGCGGUUUGUUAAGUCAGAUGUGAAAUCCCCGGGCUCAACCUGGGAACUGCAUCUGAUACUGGCAAGCUUGAGUCUCGUAGAGGGGGGUAGAAUUCCAGGUGUAGCGGUGAAAUGCGUAGA